UGCAUCGGAUCGAUUUAGCCAUGCUAGUUGCGCGAGUUCAGACUCGCAGCAGAUAGCUCAGUAACACGUGGUCAAGCUACCCUGCAGACACGGACAACCUCGGGAAACUGAGGCUAAUCCGCGAUACCGAUCCCACGCUGGAAUGCCGGGAUCCACAAACGCUCCGGCGCUGCAGGAUGCGGCUGCGGCCGAUUAGGUAGACGGUGGGGUAACGGCCCACCGUGCCGAUAAUCGGUACGGGUUGUGAGAGCAAGAGCCCGAAGACGGAAUCUGAGACAAGAUUCCGGGCCCUACGGGGCGCAGCAGGCGCGAAACCUUUACACUGCACGCAAGUGCGAUAAGGGGACUCCGAGUGCGAGGGCGUAUAGUCCUCGCUUUUGAGAACCGUAAGGUGGUUCUCGAAUAAGAGCUGGGCAAGACCGGUGCCAGCCGCCGCGGUAAUACCGGCAGCUCAAGUGAUGGCCAAUCUUAUUGGGCCUAAAGCGUCCGUAACUGGCCGUGAAAGUUCGUCGGGAAAUCCAUCCGCUCAACGGAUGGGCGUCCGGCGAAAACUUCACGGCUUGGGACCGGAAGGCUCGAGGGGUACGUCCGGGGUAGGAGUGAAAUCCUGUAAUCCUGGACGGACCGCCGAUGGCGAAAGCACCUCGAGAAGACGGAUCCGACAGUGAGGGACGAAAGCUAGGGUCUCGAACCGGAUUAGAUACCCGGGUAGUCCUAGCCGUAAACGAUGUUCACUAGGUGUGGCACAGGCUACGAGCCUGUGCUGUGCCGUAGGGAAGCCGAGAAGUGAACCGCCUGGGAAGUACGUCCGCAAGGAUGAAACUUAAAGGAAUUGGCGGGGGAGCACUACAACCGGAGGAGCCUGCGGUUUAAUUGGACUCAACGCCGGACAUCUCACCAGCUCCGACUACAGUAAUGACGGUCAGGUUGAUGACCUUACCACGAGCUGUAGAGAGGAGGUGCAUGGCGCCGUCAGCUCGUACCGUGAGGCGUCCUGUUAAGUCAGGCAACGAGCGAGACCACGCACCUAAUUGCCAGCAGCAGUUCCGACUGCUGGGUACAUUAGGGGACUGCCAGUGCCAAACU
This 1086-nucleotide ribosomal RNA is filed under the name Halogeometricum sp. enrichment culture clone SVC_A11. RNAcentral describes it as "bacterial SSU rRNA". It matches the Rfam family "Archaeal small subunit ribosomal RNA", at positions 28 to 1120 of the family's 1478-position model. The record is from RNAcentral. Lineage: Archaea; Methanobacteriati; Methanobacteriota; Halobacteria; Halobacteriales; Haloferacaceae.